UUUCCGUAGGUGAACCAGCGGAGGGAUCAUUAUCGAGGCACCUAUUGGGAACCUCUCCGCAGUUACACGCUGUUCCCCUUUGGGCUGCACGCGUGGUCCCCUCACGUGGUUACCCCACCUCUGCACUCUGCGGGUGUCCCCUCCCCGUGGGACGUCCGUCUGCACCCACGAUAUAUGUGUAUGGAUGUCUUACUUUUGUAACUAAUACAACUUGCAACAACGGCUCUCUUGACUCCCGCAUCGCGGAAGAACGCAGGUGUUCGGAAGAGCAAACAUCUG
This 279-nucleotide unclassified non-coding RNA is filed under the name plant metagenome. RNAcentral's name for it is "partial contains small subunit ribosomal RNA, internal transcribed spacer 1, and 5.8S ribosomal RNA". The record is from RNAcentral.